This is a long non-coding RNA of Osmerus eperlanus (European smelt), 689 nucleotides long. RefSeq lists it as uncharacterized. NCBI's taxonomy places the organism in Eukaryota, Metazoa, Chordata, Actinopteri, Osmeriformes, Osmeridae. The transcript has 4 exons. The record is from RefSeq and is a predicted model, not a curated record.
AACUUUAUACAAAAAGCAAUACAUGCUUUUUUCAGUUAAUUUUGUUCAGUGAAAGAAAUUCAGUGGGCUUGAACAAGUGCAUCGAAAUCUGGCUGAAUGUCUGAGGUGGAUAUGCGAAGGACAGCUGACAGGUGAUCAUAAGGGUCUGCAGCUUAACUAGCAAACCAUCAGCGGCCCGCACCCACUGAAUCAGACAAGUUCUUGUAUUUGUCUGCGUGUUUAGUCCCUUAGUGCCGAUUCAAAUUGUAAUCCUUCAACACAGCGACCUGUUCUCCACAAACUAAGAACACAGCUUUGCCUUUGACUUCAGUAAACAGAUACUUUGAAACAAUGUACCAUAUUGUUGACUUUUUGGACACGGGAGACACAGAAGUUGUUCCAGCCUCUUGGGUGGAAAAUGGAAGAAGCUACUGGCCUCCCUACAAAGCCAGGGAGCGAUGCAACAGGGCCAUAAUGGGAGCAGACCCACCUGAAGAAUCGUGGGCAAAUCAUAACAUCAGGAUCCGGGCAACUAAAAUGAGGCACGGCUGCUGCUACCAAGGGCACUGCUGACAUCAGAUCUUCAAACUGAAGAUGAGGAGGACCAACGUCCAGCUUAUAGGAGAAGGAAGAGAAGAGGCACAAACAGAAUUUGGGACUCAGAGAGCGAAGAUGACAGCACACAUCUUCAACCCAGAGGGGUAAACACC